CUUUCUUAUAAUGAUGAAUGAAUGAAAUAAACAAUGAAGGUAUCAACAAAAGCAGAAAUGUGCACAACAUUGGGGAAUCUUUAAUUCAUAUAAAGUUUGAGCAAACACACAGUCAAGCAAGGACAAAUAAUAUAAAACAUAGUUGUUUAUAAAAGACUGAUGGUUAUUCAAUCAGAUUCAUUUUUAUCACAGCCAUUGUCAAGUCAAUGCCAUAUAUAAUAUGGUUAAUCAGCAGUCCAACUCUGCUCAACAAUCUCACGCACUCUUCUGUUGUAUUCGCGCUUGUUUUCGCUGAACAUCCGAGCAGCUUCAGAGUUUGCUGGUGAGUUUGGGUUUGGAUCACACAACAAUGACUACAAAAAAAAAAAAAAAAAAAAAAGUUAAUGUCCAUCGAAAAACAGGAAUAAAUCCAGAUUUACUAAAUCAUAAACAGGAAGAAGAAAAAAAACAGUUAACUUCAAUUGUAAAACAAGAAUAUAUCCAUAGUUACUACAUGACAUGUAUGUUUUUCUUUGAUAUAAAUUAUUUUAAGGAUCAUCAACAAAAUGAACAAACAUAUCACAAGUUGGUAAUAGAAAUGCAUGACAUUACCAGAAGUUCAAAUUAAGUAAAAAUGAGUUGGAAGCAUAAACUAUAUGCAACAACAGUUCAGAAAGUUGUAAAGCUGCUGUGAAACAUGUAGAUGAGGACCUAAUGGAACACAGCAUUACUUCCACUGUGGUGAAAGUUCCUACCCCAUGGAAACAUUUGUGUGUAUCUAAGUAAUUUAUGAAAUUUAGUUAUUUAGUGUUCGGUUGGGGGAAAGUAGAGAUUACUUUAAAGCUUUCUUGUUUGGUUCAUUGUUUUGGAGGGGAGAGAAACAAAACCCUCCCGACUCAAUUUUGGCUCCCUUCUAAUAUAAGUGAUGUUUUAAUCGGCAUAAGAAGGCUUUAUAAAAAUGGCAGUAUUUUUUCACAUUUUCAGGGAGCAAAGCAACUAUGAAAAAAAUGAAACUAUGCAAAUUGAUGGGCAGACUACAAUCAAAUCAUUUACCAAUUAUUUCAUUAAAACAACUCUGAAUUAUCAAGUGAAUCACAAUUACCUGGAUUGAGGUAAGUAUUGCAGCUACAUCAUAAAUUGGACUCCACUGAUUUUGUAAAAUAUCCAAGCAUAUACUUCCAUCUGCAUAAACUGAAAUUGCCAAGCGAAAAGGGUCAAAGAAAGUACAUUUGAAGUCAUUAUCAUCAUUAUCAUGCUAAUCAAAGAAAAUUUUAGAUCAAUACAAAAUUGAUUUCCACUCCAAUUCAAUUUUAGAUAUAAUAUGCUUUUAAAGAAAAUUACAGCACCAGGAUGCUCUUUCCAUUUACUCUAUAUAAAGAAAAUUAAAAUAUUCACCACUUAAUCAGAUUCUAUCUGGCAAAUAUUCACCACUUAAUCAGAUUCUAUCUGGCAAAUAUUCACAAAUUUGGUAAGAUUUAACUAUGUUUGAUUCAGCGGUUAUAUUGUUUUAAAAUUAGUUUCCACAUCAAGUUUUUUUUUUUAACCAACAUCAGGUUGUUAAAUGGUACUAGUAUGUCAAUUAUCACACAACUGUCAAGAUAGAAACCGUUUAAUAAUCACUAAAUACAUAACAUACAAGAAAUUUCAAGUUUUCUACUUUGAAGAUAUCAAUACCAAAAAAGAGAAGGGUUUAGAUACAAGCAAGGUUGUCAAACUUGAAAGAGUUAUAUAAAGUCAUAAAAUCUUAAUAGACUUGACUCUUAAUACUAAUUAACACAUUUAUCACAGUAUCCAACAACAAAGACAAUAAACCAAGUUGCUUGGGCUCCAGUGGCAAGGAGCUCCUUCCAAGUACGUACCCGGGGAAUACCGUGUUCGAUUCCCAGGGAGAACAACGCUUGGCCAGUGUUCAUGCCUCUAAGCACGAGCAGGAUUAGUCGUCCACCUUUGGUGGAUCGGAAACUGGUGCGAAAGCCAAAAAAAAAAAAAAUGACAAUAAUACCCACAAACCAGAAAGGACUGGUCCCGACUAAACCAGAAUACACAGAUAGUAUCAUAAUUUAAAGAUAGAUAAAUUCACAAAUCUUGAGAUAGGCUAUAAGACAAAAAAUAAUAACAGAGGGUCAAAAUCAAUCGACAAUCGGCAAAGUGCAAGACUCAGAAUUACCAACAUAAGACAAACAAAAAAAAAAGGGUUGAAAAUCAAUGGACAAAUCAGCAAACCGCAAGACCAAAAUUAGCAACAAUUGAAAGAUGGUAGGCUUGGAUUCCCUUCAUUGGAGCUUGAUUCAGCUCAGCAGAUCUAGGUUUCAUCAGAGUUGGGUUCAUUGCAAUCUUGCGAUGGGCUCAUUGGUUCCUAGUUAGUGACUUUGUUCUGAUAGACUACUUGAUAUGAGAAUUCAUGCUAGAACAGAAAGAGAUCCCAUCUGACCAGCAAUGAAUCCAAUAGGCUACAUUACAAAAAAAAGGUUCAAACCAUAACACACAAAGAGCAUAAGUUCAAAAUUGAUGGACAAGAGACUCAAAAUUAUAAAACACUACAAAUGAAUAUUGGGCCGACCCCACUUAGUGGGAUAAGGCUUGGUUGUUGUUGUUGUUGUACUAAUGAAUAUUGGGAUUGAGUUCUCCUCAUUGGGGCUAAUUUCAGCACAAUAGAGCUGGGUCUUAGUUCAUCAAAGUUGGGUUCAUUCACCAAGUUGGCCGAUUGGAUUCAUUGCAAACUUGCAGUGAUGAGUUUGUUCAUGUUUACUAGUAUGUGACUUUGUUUAUCCUCUUUUUUGGUGGUGGCCGGGGUUUGAACCCCGGACCUUGCAUAUUUUAUGCAUUGUCCUAACCAACUGAGCUAUGCUCACAAGGACACUUUGUUUAUCCUCUGAGCUAUGGGAGUUGAGGCUCGAUGCCGUACUGUUAACCUAUUUUCAUAUAGGUUGACGUAAAGUGUUAAGAUUGUGAGUCUACCCGAGUUUACACAGAAACGUCUAUUUAAGUGAGAUAACCUAAUUUUGAUACCUAGAGUUGUAAAUGUGUGGGAUUCUGAGUUAGCUCAAGUUUUUGACAACCACGCUAAAAAUUUCAGCAUGCAUUUAAAUGUCUUAAAUAUACAAAAUUAUAUAUUAAAUAAAUAUAAUAAAUUUGAACAAUAUUUCAGGAUGCCGUGUACAAAAUACUAACUAUAAGGGGAAAAGAAGUGUCAACAUUCCAGGAUGCCCUGUCCAAAAUACUAACUAUAAGGGGUAAAGAAGUGUUAUCAAUAGCAGAACUGCGGAAAAUAGAGGAAAGCCAAAAAUCCGCGAUGUGAAAAAUAACAGAUAGCGUUGCGGCCUUGCGGGCAAAAAGCAGAAGGCACAUAGCGGUUGAAACUUGAAAUAAGUUAAUUAUAGAUAAAAAUAAAUAAAUAAAUAAAUAAAUAAAUAAAAAUGUUACAUACAAAUACAAAAGGGAAUGGUGGCAUAGCAUAACUUUAUAUUAAAUAUUGAAAAAUUUACAUAUUAUGGUGGAUACAGGAGACUCAAAAAUUCCAGUUUUUCUAUUAUAAAAAUAGUAUGUUUAACACACAUGCAGGUUCUUCAGCAUAUUAUUUUAAAAAUAUCCUAAAAUUCUCUUUGUUCUGCACUAUUGCCGCUACAUCAGCUAUUAGAAACUGGAAUAGCGGCUACUAUUGCCCUAAUAGGGAAACUAGGAUAGCAUCGCAGUUUUCGUAACAAAUUAAUCAAAUUCCAAUAUACUAUAGCGCCGCAUAUUGACAACACGAGGAAAGUACACAAAGUGUCUCCACUAUCUAUAACCAAAGUUCCAAACCUGACUUAAGAACAAAUGUUUUAUUUUCCAUAUAAAUUAUACGUCAAGAAGAUUUGCAAGGAGAAGAAAACACAACCAAAGAAGUUCUUCAGAAGCUGUUUCAAAAGCAAUUUCCAAAAGCAAAUUUAAACUUGUAGAUUGAAACAGACUUCCCGUUUUUGUUUAAACUUGUUAGUUUUAAUGCAUGACAACGCUCAGGCACUCAAUGUACAAACAAUUGAAAUGAUUGCUAUUCUAACUCCUGAAAGGAAUUGCAAGGUAGUUUUGUACUUACUGUUUGGAUGAAACAUCCGAGAAACAAAGCGCACAGUAGGUGGUUUAUUAGGAUAAUCCUCUGUGAACUGAAGCGUCAACUUGAACGUACCUGAAAAAAUCAAGACAUCCCUUAGAUGAAAAUCCAAAAGUUGGAAGACAAUGUACUACGUAAAACACCAUGACAUGGGUCAGUUUUUGAUAUAUAUCAUUUUUCCCUUUUCUGUCUAUAAGUUGAGAAAUGACCGACACAGACGUACAAGUUUAACUCAUGUCUUUAUGAAUCAAAUAAUAGAAAACACCAAAUUAAACAAAUCAUCAUGUUCCAAUAGACACUUCCAAUAUUUUUAAAUAGCAGUUAUAGUGGUGCUAUAACGUAGCGGAAUUCGAACAAUUUGUUGUUGUUCCGCCUUACGCUAUUUAGUACAAAAUGUAGUCAACUAACGGCUAUAGCAGCGUGAUAGCGCACUGUUGUGUAGCGAAAUUUGAACAAACCGCUUUUGUUUGCAAUUAACAACCCACCCUGCUACCAACAACAUGCAAAUAAAUGUCAUCGUAAUCAAUUAUUUUUUGCCAAGAAUUUGUUAAUUCAUGACAUAUCAAUGCUAUUCAUAUCAAUGUUUAAUAGACAGAUGCUAUUUCCAAGUAGUUAACACAUACUAGAAAAUCAAAAGUAAUUAUUGCUGACAAUGAUUUUUUAGUGAAAAUCUGUUCAUCCACAACAAAUCGAUAAAUGAUAUAUUUCCAAUUUAACAACAUACUAGAAUGUCACAAAUAAUAGUAAAAAAUCUGUUCAUCCACUAUGAAUCAAAGUUUGUUCAUAACAAUGCUUAAAGCAAGAGCUAUUUCCGAGUAGUUAACUGAAAAGUAUCUAAGCAGUUGGGAACCCCUCCCUUAAAAGAUAGCCAUCAAGGGGGAAGAACCAAGCCACAUAAAUACUCCAUUGAGCAUCCUAUACUACUCGAUGUGGGACUUGGGCUGCAAAUAACGCCAAGUAUCCAUCAUUAAGCCGCACACUAGAAAGUUAUAAAUCACAAUUAUAUUAUUAAAUAACAUUACAAAACCAUUUCAGUUUAUAAAGGAAGAGGAUAUGACUGUACCUCCAUCCCAAGGGGUGUCAUCUGGCCUGGAAAAGCACAAAGAAAAGCAUAUUAGAUUGCAAUUACAAAUUUAAUUAUGCAGAAGCUAAAACCAUAAAAUAAAUGGGAAAAUACACAAAAACAGGUUCUAAAAAAAACAUUCGCGGCCGCAAUCAAGGCCACGUCACAACAAUUUUUAUCUUGCCGAAACCGUGACCGCAAUCUAGGCAAAGUCAAAACAAUUUUUAUGUUGCCGAAACUGCAACACAAUCACGGUUAAAGCGGCAUCGGUCACAUUCAAUUGCACAAACAUAAGGAAAAAUAUUAUGAAUAGAGUAAACUUCCACACACCCAAAUAUCACAGCAUUCCAAAGCAUGAUAUUGUUGUCUUGGGGAGCCCCACUGAUGCCAGCAGGAGGAUCCUGUUGCAACCUCUUAAAAUCCCUCAUCAGUCUCUUCCUAGCAGGAGUCGACAUCCUCGCCACCUAAACCAAACAUCACAAAAGAAUAGUAAUCAGUCAAUAUGAUUACAAACACCACAAAAUUUAAAAACAGAUUGAAUAAGAAGAAUUUAAAAACAUAGUAAAGAAUACAUCACAGCUUCAACUUUAAAAACAGAUUGCAAACACCACAAAAUAUGAAGUUUUAGAUCUUCUCAACUUAAAAUUUGACCAAAUAACAACUUAUUUUCCCAAAGUUUAACAGUUAUCAAACCAUCAAUAAUUCAAUAGCAAACUCCACAAAAUUUUCCAUAUCCAAACACAACAAUACAAACUCAAUUCAAAGUGUUAAAACUCACACAAAUCACAAAUAGUUCUUUAUUAUCCAUCAAUGAGUUAAAACAUGAAUUCUUUCAAAGUUCACACAAUCUAAAACAACAAAUAGUGUUAACCUAUUUCAUAUUUUCAUGCUUUCCAAACACCUAAAAAAAUAUAAAAUCAAAUCAAAUAAAAAAUCAAAAUUUUCCAAAGAUCAAUUAAGCCUAAUCACAACAACCACAAGCUUAAAUUUUAGCAAAUAACCUAGAUCCAACCCUUCAUUUCUAACCACAACACAAACCUAACAAAAAUAAUAACUAGCAUAAAAAAAAUACCAACAAAAAAAUAAUGGGAUUAUGAAAUCAAACACCAAUUAAUUAACAUGGGUAUGAAUUGAUUUCAUGAAAAUCAAUUAAAAUCAAAUAAAAAUCAAAUUUUUAAAAAAUAAAAAUAAAAAAAUUGAAGAGAGAGAAAGAGAGAGAGGUUCUGACUUGCGAGUGGAGAAGGGUGAGAGAGGUGAAGAAGAGUCAGA
RNAcentral lists this long non-coding RNA (6398 nucleotides) under Medicago truncatula (barrel medic). RNAcentral's name for it is "lncRNA gene47375". The record is from RNAcentral. Lineage: Eukaryota; Viridiplantae; Streptophyta; Magnoliopsida; Fabales; Fabaceae.